This 497-nucleotide ribosomal RNA is filed under the name uncultured bacterium. RNAcentral describes it as "partial 16S ribosomal RNA". It matches the Rfam family "Bacterial small subunit ribosomal RNA", at positions 28 to 507 of the family's 1533-position model. The record is from RNAcentral.
GAUGAACGCUGGCGGCGUGCCUAAUACAUGCAAGUCGAGCGAACGGACGAGAAGCUUGCUUCUCUGAUGUUAGCGGCGGACGGGUGAGUAACACGUGGAUAACCUACCUAUAAGACUGGGAUAACUUCGGGAAACCGGAGCUAAUACCGGAUAAUAUUUUGAACCGCAUGGUUCAAAAGUGAAAGACGGUCUUGCUGUCACUAAUAGAUGGAUCCGCGCUGCAUUAGCUAGUUGGUAAGGUAACGGCUUACCAAGGCAACGAUGCAUAGCCGACCUGAGUGGCGGAUCGGCCACACUGGAGCUGAGACACGGUCCAGACUCCUACGGGAGGCAGCAGUAGGGAAUCUUCCGCAAUGGGCGAAAGCCUGACGGAGCAACGCCGCGUGAGUGAUGAAGGUCUUCGGAUCGUAAAACUCUGUUAUUAGGGAAGAACAUAUGUGUAAGUAACUGUGCACAUCUUGACGGUACCUAAUCAGAAAGCCACGGCUAACUACGUG